AACGAACGCUGGCGGCAGGCCUAACACAUGCAAGUCGAGCGCGCCCUUCGGGGUGAGCGGCGGACGGGUGAGUAACGCGUGGGAACGUGCCCUUUUCUACGGAAUAGCCUCGGGAAACUGAGAGUAAUACCGUAUACGCCCUUUGGGGGAAAGAUUUAUCGGAAAAGGAUCGGCCCGCGUUGGAUUAGGUAGUUGGUGGGGUAAUGGCCUACCAAGCCGACGAUCCAUAGCUGGUUUGAGAGGAUGAUCAGCCACACUGGGACUGAGACACGGCCCAGACUCCUACGGGAAGCAGCAGUGGGGAAUCUUAGACAAUGGGGGCAAACCUGAUCUAGCCAUGCCGCGUGAGUGAUGAAGGCCUUAGGGUUGUAAAGCUCUUUCAGCUGGGAAGAUAAUGACGGUACCAGCAGAAGAAGCCCCGGCUAACUCCGUG
This 433-nucleotide ribosomal RNA is filed under the name uncultured bacterium. RNAcentral describes it as "partial 16S ribosomal RNA". It matches the Rfam family "Bacterial small subunit ribosomal RNA", at positions 29 to 507 of the family's 1533-position model. The record is from RNAcentral.